GACGAACGCUGGCGGCGUGCUUAACACAUGCAAGUCGAACGAGGCCCUUUCUUCGGUUGGGGUUCUAGUGGCGAACGGGUGAGUAACACGUGGGCAACCUGCCCCUGGCUCUGGGAUAACUCCAAGAAAUUGGGGCUAAUACCGGAUAUGACCGCUGAUCGCAUGGUCUGGUGGUGGAAAGAUUUAUCGGCUGGGGAUGGGCCCGCGGCCUAUCAGCUUGUUGGUGGGGUAGUGGCCUACCAAGGCGACGACGGGUAGCCGGCCUGAGAGGGUGACCGGCCACACUGGGACUGAGACACGGCCCAAACUCCUACGGGAGGCAGCAGUGGGGAAUAUUGGACAAUGGGCGCAAGCCUGAUCCAGCCAUGCCGCGUGAGUGAUGAAGGCCCUAGGGUUGUAAAGCUCUUUCACCGGAGAAGAUAAUGACGGUAUCCGGAGAAGAAGCCCCGGCUAACUUCGUGCCAGCCGCCGCUGUAAG
Molecule: ribosomal RNA, 478 nt
Filed under: uncultured bacterium
Lineage: Bacteria
Description: bacterial SSU rRNA
Rfam family: Bacterial small subunit ribosomal RNA
Source: RNAcentral